CCUCCUCUGGUGACUUACUGGGAGCUGUUCCUUGCUGAGUCUCAACAUCUUUCUAAGUAAACUGGGGAUAAUAAUAUUUAUCUUCAGGGAGGCUGUGAGAAUCAAAAGCGUUAAUGCCUAUAACCUACAGUAAGCACGUUGUAAAUACAGAGCGUUGUUAAUCCCUUGGGACUCGGUGUUCUCACUGCACUGCCCUUCUCUUCAUUGACUGUACUUCUUACUAGGAAACCACAGAUCACCAAGUUUCUAGCAGAGCUUAUGGUUUCCUGUUACCAGUCACACGCUCCUGAGCAAAGGAGAUAUGUUAAAUGUCCAAGGAAUAUUAUUUCAGAUUAAAUUCUUCAAGUUGGUAGAAAAACUAAUUAUAAAUCUACUGACCUAAUCCCUGACCAUGUUGACUUCAUCAUUAUUUAUUGCUUGUAUCUUCCGUUACUUUCCAGUUACUGUCUCCUAUUAGUGAAGCAUAUUGUAAAUAAUGGAAGGAAGAGGACCUCACCUCCCCAUUUCUCUCAAACAAGCCACUUUAAAUCAGCUUGAAGACAUGAAUGUAUUCCUGUUUAUUCCUGACCUUGAAAUAAUCCCAAAUGUGAAAAGCUGUUUGACUCCCAUCACAGAACUACAUAUGUGUGUGUAUUCAUAG
Molecule: long non-coding RNA, 640 nt
Filed under: Felis catus (domestic cat)
Lineage: Eukaryota; Metazoa; Chordata; Mammalia; Carnivora; Felidae
Description: lncRNA (ENSFCAG00000050556.1)
Source: RNAcentral